GCCGCGGAGGCCGUGGGUCGCCAUGUGGAUGCUUUGCGGGGAGGCAUCGGGCGAAGAUCUAGUGGGGGAAGGAGGAGAGGGCGUCAGAAAAGAUGACAGGAGGCGAUCCCAUUGAGCACUCCUUUAAGAACAAGGGUACUGCGAAGACACAACCCCUUCCUCUAGCGCCAAUCCUGUUGGUGCAAAAAUUCGCCUGCAUCGGAGAAGCUAGAGUCGAGGGAGUCGCGGUCGC
Molecule: long non-coding RNA, 232 nt
Filed under: Elaeis guineensis (African oil palm)
Lineage: Eukaryota; Viridiplantae; Streptophyta; Magnoliopsida; Arecales; Arecaceae
Description: long non-coding RNA (EGUI_LNC021327)
Source: RNAcentral